AUGAAGAAAAUUUUGUAGAUGUUGAAGUUGUGAGACAAAUAUGGGACCCGCAGAAUCGCACACGAAUCUGCGGGUCCCAUAUUUGCCUAGUGAACGAAGGGGCUCAAAGUCAACAGCUGAAAAUAAAAAUCUUACAAAAUGUAAUAAUAUGACAUUAAAAUUUUAAAUCAAAAAUAUUGAUCUUGUUUUAUAUAGUAUAAAGAAUUUUCUAUUAAAAUUUCACGUGAUUUGGAUAUUUCUACACCGUUAAACUUGCAAACGGCUCACUACGGCUAUUGAAAUUUGUUGAUUUUGAGCCCAUUUGAUCACUAGGCAAAUGAUAUCGAAAAAUAAUAAAAUUUAUUUUCUAGGUACUCCAAAUACUCUAGAUCAAGUUUAACGGAGCCGAUC
Molecule: long non-coding RNA, 390 nt
Filed under: Ananas comosus (pineapple)
Lineage: Eukaryota; Viridiplantae; Streptophyta; Magnoliopsida; Poales; Bromeliaceae
Description: long non-coding RNA (ACOM_LNC018329)
Source: RNAcentral